This 148-nucleotide non-coding RNA is filed under the name Nomascus leucogenys (northern white-cheeked gibbon). Lineage: Eukaryota; Metazoa; Chordata; Mammalia; Primates; Hylobatidae. The record is from Rfam by way of RNAcentral.
GCCGGGCAUGGUGGUGCACGCCUGUAAUCCCAGCUACUCAGGAGGCUGAUGCAGGAGAAUCGCUUGCACCCGGGAGGAGGAGGUUGCAGUGAGACGAGAUCGUGCCACUGCACUCUAGCCUGGGUGACAAAGCGAUACUCUGUCUCAC